GGGUCCAUAGCUCAGUGGUCAGAGCACUCGGCUCAUAACCGAAUGGUCGCAGGUUCAAAUCCUGCUGGACCCA
This 73-nucleotide transfer RNA is filed under the name Patescibacteria group bacterium. Its description in RNAcentral is "tRNA-Ile". It matches the Rfam family "tRNA". Rfam says of the family: Transfer RNA (tRNA) molecules are approximately 80 nucleotides in length. Their secondary structure includes four short double-helical elements and three loops (D, anti-codon, and T loops). The record is from RNAcentral.